Non-coding RNA from Pelobates cultripes (western spadefoot toad), 277 nucleotides. The record is from the annotation of a GenBank genome assembly. NCBI's taxonomy places the organism in Eukaryota, Metazoa, Chordata, Amphibia, Anura, Pelobatidae.
GGGUCAAAGAGCUACGUUUAACAUUUAAACAUAUCAUUUAUGUGCCUGUUAAAGAAAAACAAAUGUUUAAUCUAUAUACAUUAAAGUCCCCUGGAAAAACUCUGGCUCUCACCUGACAGAGCAAUCACAGAGCACAGUAGCAGGAUUAUGUAAUGACAUCAUGUACUGACAUCAUAAUUCAAACACAAAGGCCAGUAGCAGGAUUAUGUAAUGACAUCAUGUACUGACAUCAUAAUGCAAACACAAAGGCCAGUAGCAGGAUUAUGUAAUGACAUCA